Molecule: long non-coding RNA, 3855 nt
Filed under: Anolis carolinensis (green anole)
Lineage: Eukaryota; Metazoa; Chordata; Lepidosauria; Squamata; Anolidae
Description: lncRNA (ENSACAG00000040603.1)
Source: RNAcentral
AUGUCUAUGCAAUUUCAAGAUGAUACAGAUGGUAUACCUCCUUCUGAGGCUGAAGGUAGGAAUGAAAGGCCCCAAAGGAUAAAGCACCCUUCAGCCAAAAUGCUAGCCCAUCUAAUAGACGAAAAGGAGCUCCUCCAUGUGAGGUUAGGUUCAGCAUGGGAGCGCAUCACAACAUUAAUGGACAGAAUUGAGAGCUUGGGUAUUACAAGGGUGCCAUCCAUAUUACAGACAGACCUUGAAGAGACCUUCGGUAUUUGGAGGGGUUUGGUGUCUAAGAUAGUCCAGGUCCUCGAGCGCAUUAACGCCAAGGAUUCAGAGUUAGAAAUAGUGAGUGUCUUAGCUGACACUAAUGAGAAAGAAAAUAAGGUGAGGGCAAUUCUAGAUGCCUUGGAAUUUAGUUCUCCAUCUGUUAAUCUAAGGUCUGAGCCAAAAGGAAAUCAGUCUUCCUUAAGCAGCCAUGAGACCAAUCUUUUAAAAUCACCUGCUGUGGCACUUAGUCUUAAGUCCAACCGCUCUAGCCAGGUAUCUAAACUAAGGGAGUGUGCAUCAUCUAAACAUAGCCACUCUAGCAAGUCUUCUGCUGCUGGGAGUGCCAUCUCUUCCCUAGCUGCCUUGCACAUUAAGGAGGCUGCACGUCUAGAGCUAAAGAGCAAGGUAGCGGGGGCGGAGGCUGAUGCUAAGGCAGCUGAUCUCACCCUUCCCUUUAAAGAAGAAGAGCAACGACUGCAAAUAGAACAGGCCCGUAGACAAAGCGAAAUGCAAAUGGAACAGGCCCAAAGGCAAGGUGAAAUAGAAAUGCUUAGAAUAAGGAUGGAUGCUACUGCCAAAAAGGUAAGGGCUGAGACUUUGGCCAAGGCCCUAAUUGAGCCACUCACAGAAGAAAAUGUAAGUCAGUUGCCGAAGCAGGACCCUUCUUCCAAGGUGCUUGUGCAUCUUAAUAGCUUAAACAGCCAGUUUUCGGAUGAGGAACAGGAAGACUUCUCUCCUUACCCAGAGCAGGGCCCCAAAGUCACUUUUGAGUUUCCUGCAGAGCAGAGCGUCAUAGCGGGGAGCUCACCCUUGCCCGAGCUACCUGUGCCUCCUGCUAAAUCCCUAGGUCAGUCAAUCAGGGCCUCAAGGCCAAGUGCUAGUUGGCCCUUACAGACAGCUGCACAGGGAGCCACCGAUUCGUCAGUGGUCGAUGUCAUCCCUCCAAGAGGCCAAAGGUUGACGCAAGGUGCACGGUGGGAGUCCACUCCACAACAGCAAACUCCUCAAUUGUUCCCUUCGACGCCAGAGUCCCAGCUUGUCUCCAUCAUCAGAAGCCCCAGAAGAGAUCUUAAGGACAAGGGUGUCGAAAAGUUUUCGGACAAGCCUGAGGAAUUUCUUCUCUGGAAGGCCACCUUCCAGAGAGCAAUCAGAGACUUAAAGUUAUUGCCGGAGGAAGAACUGACUCUUCUGGCUGCAUGGUUGGGCCCAGCCUCAUCCUCACAAGUUAAGAAGAUCUACGCAGCCCACGUAGCCGAUCCCGACAAAGCCCUGGAAAAGGCCUGGGCCAGGUUGCAGCAGAGGUAUGGGGCCAGCACAGAGAUUGAAGCAUCUCUUAUGGACAAGCUCCAAAGGUUCCCAGCUUUAAAACUCAAAGACUUCAAACUCUUGUGGGACCUCAGCGAUCUCCUUACGGAAUUAGAGUCGGCCAAGGAGAAUCCAGAACUGCCCGGUUUGAAGUGCCUCGAUCAGCACCUGUCCCAGAGGCAGAUCUUGACCAAGCUGCCCUUCACUUUGCAAGAACGCUGGGGACAGGAGGUCUUCAACUACAAGGAGGCCCACUCCCAGGCAUACCCUCCAUUUUCUCAUUUGGUCCAGUUCAUCACCAGGGCGGCCAGAGAAAGGAAUGAUCCGCAGACGGGCCUCCCCACCUUAUACCAAGGGACCCAGCCAGAGAAGGCACCUAAAGUGGACAAGAAACCAUCUAGAGAGGCCAAUAGACCUGUCAGCGUAAAGGCAGUCGAAACUCAACUCAAGACUGACGAACCCAGGUCGGAGGUAAAAGAGUUGCUUUGCCCUAUUCACCAAAAGCCUCACAGCUUGGCCAACUGCAGGGAGUUUAGUAGAAAGACAUACAAAGAAAGGCAACAGCUAGUUCAAAAGCAGGGAAUCUGCUUUAGAUGCUGUGGAGCAACUCCACACUUUGCAUCCAACUGCAAAGAAAACAUCAAGUGUGAGAAAUGCAACAGCCUCAAGCAUUGCACCGCAAUGCACAACUCCAAUAUCAUCUCCCACCCCAAAGAGAACGCUUCACCAAAAGAAAAGUCAGCAGUCGAAGACACCGACAAGCCAGCCGCACCAGAGAUGCAGGUGGAAGUUUCAGCAGUCGCCUGUACAGAGCUGUGUUCUGACUCGCACCAGUACAGAGUUUGUCAUCCUAUCUGCCUAGCGGAUGUAUAUCCAGCCAAGAGCCCUUGGCUUAGAAAGAGACUCUAUGUGGCCCUGGAUUCACAGAGCGACGCCUCCCUGGCUACUCCAGAGUUCUUCCGCAUGUUUGACCUUAAAACCAAGAUGGUCGACUACACUAUGACUACGUGUGCAGGAAAAAAGAAGUUGCAGGGUCGCAUAGCAUCUGGCUUCGUUGUCUCCUCUUGCGACCAGAAGAGACAGUUCAAGUUGCCAGACCUGAUUGAGUGUUCCUCUAUUCCCCGGAACAAAAGGCAGAUUGUCACUAGAGAAGUUGUGGAGGCUCAUCCACAUUUGCGACGGUUAAAGAAUGCUAUACCAGCCUUUCGGCCAGAUGUGGACAUUGCCCUUUUGCUUGGCUCGGACUGCCCGAGCUUGUUCUGUGUGAACGACCAAGUUAAAGGACCUCCAGGUGCACCUAUCGCACAACAAUUGCCAUUAGGCUGGACAGUCAUAGGCCCAGUGUGCAUAAACAAGAUGCACCCACCAUCGUCGUUGGACUCCAAUCAAGCACAGGUGCUUAAAGGUGGACGUCCUACACUUGUGCGCAGUUGCCUAAGUCAUAUCUCAGUCUACUGCCAAGCAAUAACUCCAGAGUAUUCCUCCAUCUUCAAAGUCUCUGAGAGAGACGAAGCCACAGCACUCUUGAAAGAUGAGCAAAGGUUCUUGGACAGUAUGAAUGCUCAAGUCUCACGAAGUACAGAGGGAAAUUGGGUAGCUCCUUUGCCCUUUAAGUCAGAUAAGCCCACUUCGCCAAACAAUAGACACAUGGCAGGGAAAAGACUCUGGUCCCUAAAGAAAAGAAUCCAUCAUCAGGGUAGAACUCUAACUGAGGCAGCCCUUAGAAACGAAGGUCUGUGGGUAGUUAAUGCCAAAAGGUUGGUCAACAGUUGUAUUUUCAAAUGUGUUAAAUGCAGGUGCCUUAGGCGAAACUGUCAAAAUCGGUUAAUAGCAGAACUACCUCAGGAUAGGACUUUGACAGACCCACCCUUUUCCCACGUGGGAAUUAAUGUGUUUGGUCCUUGGGAAAUUGUUACCAGAAAAACCAGGGGUGGUGUUGUAAAUAAUAAAAGAUGGGCGGUUUUGUUUACUUGUUUGUCAAAACGAACUGUCUAUAUUGAGGAUGUAGAGGGAAUGGACACUUCAUCAUUUUUAAAUGCAUUGAAAAGGUUCAUAGCCCUCAGAGGGCCAAUUAAGUCAAUUCGAUCGGACUGUGGCACCAAUUUUGCAUGUGCAGACCUUAGCCAACCACUUCUGGAAGAGGUGGAAGGCCGAAUACUUAAGCCAGCUUUCAACCAGAAGACUCUGGCAAACCCCAGAGGACAAUUUCAAGGUGGGAAACCUUGUGUUGCUAAAGGACAAAGACUUGCCCCGCUAUGCCUGGCCUAUGGGCAUUACACUAAAGACCUUUCCUUGCCCUGA